RNAcentral lists this ribosomal RNA (301 nucleotides) under uncultured bacterium. RNAcentral describes it as "partial 16S ribosomal RNA". It matches the Rfam family "Bacterial small subunit ribosomal RNA", at positions 509 to 807 of the family's 1533-position model. The record is from RNAcentral.
CAGUAGCCGCGGUAAUACGGAGGGGGCUAGCGUUGCUCGGAAUCACUGGGCGUAAAGGGUGCGUAGGCGGGUCUUUAAGUCAGGGGUGAAAUCCUGGAGCUCAACUCCAGAACUGCCUUUGAUACUGAAGAUCUUGAGUUCGGGAGAGGUGAGUGGAACUGCGAGUGUAGAGGUGAAAUUCGUAGAUAUUCGCAAGAACACCAGUGGCGAAGGCGGCUCACUGGCCCGAUACUGACGCUGAGGCACGAAAGCGUGGGGAGCAAACAGGAUUAGAUACCCCCGUAGUCCCUGUCUCUUAUAC